AAGUCGUAACAAGGUUUCCGUAGGUGAACCUGCGGAAGGAUCAUUAUUGAAUUCACUAGCAAAGUUGUUGCUGGCUCCUUGUGGGCAUGUGCACGCUUUGUAAGUCAAUUUCAACCCCUGUGAACCUUUUGUAGUCUUGGGUGACGCUAUUAAUCAAAGGAAACUUUGGAUUUGAAUGAUGCAGGCUUGCAAAGGUCGGCUUCAUUCUACAGCAGAGCCCGGGUACUAUGCUUUACACACCCCAUUGUAUGUCUUAGAAUGUAUAUCAAGGGCUUUAAUGCCUUUAAAUCUAUACAACUUUCAGCAACGGAUCUCUUGGCUCUC
This 324-nucleotide unclassified non-coding RNA is filed under the name fungal sp. RNAcentral describes it as "partial internal transcribed spacer region". The stretch from base 1 to 46 matches the Rfam family "Eukaryotic small subunit ribosomal RNA", at positions 1786 to 1831 of the family's 1831-position model. Lineage: Eukaryota; Fungi. The record is from RNAcentral.